UGUUGACCUCAAAUCAGGUAAGACUACCCGCUGAACUUAAGCAUAUCAAUAAGCGGAGGA
RNAcentral lists this ribosomal RNA (60 nucleotides) under Blastobotrys proliferans. RNAcentral's name for it is "partial 28S ribosomal RNA". It matches the Rfam family "Eukaryotic large subunit ribosomal RNA", at positions 1 to 57 of the family's 3401-position model. Lineage: Eukaryota; Fungi; Ascomycota; Dipodascomycetes; Dipodascales; Trichomonascaceae. The record is from RNAcentral.